This 277-nucleotide ribosomal RNA is filed under the name uncultured bacterium. RNAcentral describes it as "partial 16S ribosomal RNA". It matches the Rfam family "Bacterial small subunit ribosomal RNA", at positions 78 to 354 of the family's 1533-position model. The record is from RNAcentral.
CUUUCUGCCGCCGGCGACCGGCGCACGGGUGAGUAACACGUAUGCAACCUGCCCCUGUCAGGGGGACAACCCGCCGAAAGGCGGGCUAAACCCGCGUACAUGCCACCGGGGCAUCCCGGAGGCAGGAAAGGCUUCGGCCGGACAGGGAUGGGCAUGCGGCGCAUUAGGCAGUAGGCGGGGUAACGGCCCACCUAACCGACGAUGCGUAGGGGUUCUGAGAGGAAGGUCCCCCACACUGGUACUGAGACACGGACCAGACUCCUACGGGAGGCAGCAG